Molecule: ribosomal RNA, 396 nt
Filed under: uncultured bacterium
Lineage: Bacteria
Description: partial 16S ribosomal RNA
Rfam family: Bacterial small subunit ribosomal RNA
Source: RNAcentral
AUACGUAGGUGACAAGCGUUAUCCUGAUUUACUGGGCGUAAAGGGCGUGUAGGCGGUCUUGCAAGUCAGAAGUGAAAUUCCUGAGCUCAACUCGGGCGCUGCUUCUGAAACUGCAGGACUUGAGUGCUGGAGGGGAUAGCGGAAUUCCUAGUGGAGCGGUAAAAUGCGCAGAUAUUAGGAAGAACACCGGUGGCGAAGGCGGCUAUCUGGACAGUAACUGACGCUGAGGCUCGAAAGCGUGGGGAGCAAACAGGAGUAGAUACCCUGGUAGUCCACGCUGUAAACGAUGAUUACUAGGUGUGGGGGGACUGACCCCUUCCGUGCCGCAGUUAACACAAUAAGUAAUCCACCUGGGGAGUACGGCCGCAAGGUUGAAACUCAAAUGAAUUGACGGGG